AUAUAUAUAUACAUAUACGUAUACAAAUACAUAAAUUCAAAAAUUGAAAACCAAAUCCACUCUCACUCAACAUCACCCUACACUCUCCCAUUUCGGUUAUAUGUGCCUCCUUUCCCUUUUCUCGCACUAUUCUCUCUUAUUUCCUCUCUCUCGUGUAUGAUUCUCUCCUAUUUCUCUCUUCACAGGCGCGAUUCCUUCCUCCAGGCGUAAUUUUCAACAGCGCCGCAAUUCUCAUGCGUGUUCUUUAACUGAUUUUCGCUACUUGUUUUCUCUUUCUUCUAGUUUGAUUUGGCAUUUUCAUCUCUAAAUUAAAGUUUGAUUUUUGUUACUUUUGCCCUCUCUGAUUCCUGCAUUUUCUUUUCUGCAUCAAGGAAGCAGAUAUAAAAGCAGAGCUUUCAAGUCUGUGCGAGUUGCUAUCCAUGUCCUGGUAAAUGGAUUGCAAGUUAAUGUUAUUUCCUUUAGUUUUAAUGUUGGAUUUUGAAACUAACCCUAAUUUCUUGCUUCUCAGGAAUCAAAAAUAAAAAAUCAAAGAAAUA
Molecule: non-coding RNA, 536 nt
Organism: Arachis ipaensis
Lineage: Eukaryota; Viridiplantae; Streptophyta; Magnoliopsida; Fabales; Fabaceae
Source: RefSeq, a predicted model, not a curated record